RNAcentral lists this signal recognition particle RNA (99 nucleotides) under Acidithrix ferrooxidans. RNAcentral describes it as "Bacterial small signal recognition particle RNA". It matches the Rfam family "Bacterial small signal recognition particle RNA". Rfam says of the family: The signal recognition particle (SRP) is a universally conserved ribonucleoprotein involved in the co-translational targeting of proteins to membranes. Archaeal SRP consists of a 7S RNA and homologues of the eukaryotic SRP19 and SRP54 proteins. The record is from Rfam by way of RNAcentral. Lineage: Bacteria; Bacillati; Actinomycetota; Acidimicrobiia; Acidimicrobiales; Acidimicrobiaceae.
GAUCGGGCCCUGCGCGGCUUGUGAUCGUGAACCGAGUCAGGGCCGGAAGGCAGCAGCUCUCAGCGGAACCAUAAGGGUGCCGCAGUAAGUCUGAUCUCU